AUGUAUUGAGUAAUUACCUAUAGAACCAUUUCAAUUGAGACAAGAGAUUGCUAGUCAGCUUGAAGUACCUGAAUUUGAUAUUGGCAGUAGUCACAGGGUGAUGUUCAGAUGAGUGUUACUAUUAUUCUUGUGUUUGGUGAGAGGGUCAGUAAACUGAUACCUGAAGUAACAUUACUCCAAUGGUUUCAUUCAUAUAUUGAUAUAUCGACACAGUAUCAAUUAUUAAAUGAAGCUGUUUAUAUUACCAAAAACUGUCCUCUUAAGCAAAUAAAAGAAAUUAGUCAGAGUUCAACACUGUAUAAUAUUGGGUGUGGUCGACGUAAUAAGCCCAUCCCACCUGCAUGCUAAUAUAAUGUGUCAGAAAUGUGAGAGUAGACUUAAUAUCUGCUCUGUGUGUCAUGCUCCUGUUAAAGGAUUAUACUCAAUGUGUGAGGUGUGUGGUCAUGGUGGCCACAUGUCUCAUUUGAAGGAAUGGUUCAGUACUAACAGCUGGUGUCCAUCUGGUUGUGGACAUAACUGUGUAACAUGAAAAUUGACAAAGUAUGCUGUGAAUCAAAGCAAUAAUGUGAUUUUAAUUUUUAAUUUUUGUGUACAAUUAUUAUUGAAAUGAUUAUUAAAAAUUGAAAAUCAUUCACAAACC
Molecule: long non-coding RNA, 640 nt
Organism: Amphimedon queenslandica
Lineage: Eukaryota; Metazoa; Porifera; Demospongiae; Haplosclerida; Niphatidae
Exons: 5
Source: RefSeq, a predicted model, not a curated record